AACGCACCUUGCACCCUUUGGUAUUCCGAAGGGUAUGCUCGUUUGAGUGUCAUUGUACUCUCACACUCCCGAUCUUGGUUGGGAGCGGUGGACUUGGGUGUUGCUGCUUACCGUGGCUCACCUCAAAUGGAUUCGUGCAUCUCUCGGUUGGACAUAGUACGGCGUGAUAAGUGUCUUCGCCGGCGCCUCACUGCGAGGGUGGCCGAUCGGGAGCUCUGUGCUUCUAACCGUCUUCGGACAACAACUGACAACUUGACCUCAAAUCGAGUAGGACUACCCGCUGAACUUAA
Molecule: unclassified non-coding RNA, 290 nt
Filed under: uncultured Sebacinaceae
Lineage: Eukaryota; Fungi; Basidiomycota; Agaricomycetes; Sebacinales; Sebacinaceae
Description: sequence contains ITS2
Source: RNAcentral